ACGCUCGACACCUACGGGGGCAGCAGUCGGGAAUAUUGCGCAAUGGAGGAAACUCUGACGCAGUGACGCCGCGUAUAGGAAGAAGGUUUUCGGAUUGUAAACUAUUGUCGUUAGGGAAGAAAAAAGAACAGUACCUAAGGAGGAAGCUCCGGCUAACUACGUGCCAGCAGCUGCGGUAAUCUGAGCGGGCUGGCAAGGC
Molecule: ribosomal RNA, 199 nt
Filed under: uncultured bacterium
Lineage: Bacteria
Description: partial 16S ribosomal RNA
Rfam family: Bacterial small subunit ribosomal RNA
Source: RNAcentral